GGCUACAGAACACGCUGGCGGCAUGCCUAACACAUGCAAGUCGAACGAGACCUUCGGGUCUAGUGGCGCACGGGUGCGUAACGCGUGGGAAUCUGCCCUUAGGUUCGGAAUAACUUCGGGAAACUGAAGCUAAUACCGGAUGAUGACGUAAGUCCAAAGAUUUAUCGCCUAAGGAUGAGCCCGCGUUGGAUUAGCUAGUUGGUGAGGUAAAGGCUCACCAAGGCGACGAUCCAUAGCUGGUCUGAGAGGAUGAUCAGCCACACUGGGACUGAGACACGGCCCAGACUCCUACGGGAGGCAGCAGUGGGAAUAUUGGACAAUGGCGAAAGCCUGAUCCAGCAAUGCCGCGUGAGUGAUGAAGGCCUUAGGGUUGUAAAGCUCUUUACCCGGGAUGAUAAUGACAGUACCGGGAGAAUAAGCUCCGGCUAACUCCGUG
This 436-nucleotide ribosomal RNA is filed under the name uncultured bacterium. RNAcentral describes it as "bacterial SSU rRNA". It matches the Rfam family "Bacterial small subunit ribosomal RNA", at positions 33 to 507 of the family's 1533-position model. The record is from RNAcentral.